This 309-nucleotide ribosomal RNA is filed under the name uncultured eukaryote. Its description in RNAcentral is "partial 18S ribosomal RNA". It matches the Rfam family "Eukaryotic small subunit ribosomal RNA", at positions 1470 to 1796 of the family's 1831-position model. The record is from RNAcentral.
CCCUUAGAUGUUCUGGGCGGCCCGCGCACUACACUGGCACUCUCAAUCAGAGCCUAGAUCUAACACUUUGGGGUAUUCUAUGAAGAGGUGUCGUGACUGGGAUUAACCCUUGCAAUUAUUGGUUAUGAACGAGGAAUUCCUUGUAAUCGCGGUUUAUCAGCCCGCGUUGAAUGCGCCCCUGCCCUUUGUACACACCGCCCGUCGCUCCUACCAAUGAAUCGUCCGGUGAAGUUCAUGGAGGGGCGGUUGUUUCAACUGCCGUUGAAGUGAAAUGGACCUCACGAUUUAGAGGAAGGAGAAGUCGUAACA